Molecule: ribosomal RNA, 449 nt
Filed under: uncultured bacterium
Lineage: Bacteria
Description: partial 16S ribosomal RNA
Rfam family: Bacterial small subunit ribosomal RNA
Source: RNAcentral
CCUACGGGGGGCUGCAGUGGGGAAUUUUGGACAAUGGGGGCAACCCUUAUCCAGCCAUGCCGCGUGAGUGAAGAAGGCCUUCGGGUUGUAAAGCUCUUUCGGCCGGGAAGAAAUCGCUCAAGCUAAUACCUUGGGUGGAUGACGGUACCGGAAGAAGAAGCACCGGCUAACUACGUGCCAGCAGCCGCGGUAAUACGUAGGGUGCGACCGUUAAUCGAGCUUACUGAGCGUAAAGCGUACGCAGGCUGUGAAAUCCCCGGGCUUAACCUGGGAACUGCGUUUGUGACUGUGGUGCUCGAGUGCGGCAGAGGGGGGUGGAAUUCCACGUGUAGCAGUGAAAUGCGUAGAGAUGUGGAGGAACACCGAUGGCGAAGGCAGCCCCCUGGGUCGACACUGACGCUCAUGCACGAAAGCGUGGGGAGCAAACAGGAUUAGAUACCCUAGUAGUC